GUCCAGCUGAGAAAGUGAAGAAGAAACCUGUCAGGAUGCCAUUACAAGCACUGUAUAUCAGAAAUCCAUUGGAUGGAGGAAGGAGAGAGACUGUAGUUGAAUGGAUCCUCCAGCAGCUUCCUGGCUUGAACUUCAGGAUGAACAUCAAGCAAAAUGGCAGAGUGACCGAAGAUAACUGGGACAUGUUUGUAAGACCCUUCUCUUCCCUAGACUAAUUUAGGCUGUCGUGAUCAAAGCUUUCUCUACAACUUCUGUCUGAUGUGGGCCAGCAGGAAACGAGCACAGCUACGUGAGCUCCACCGAACACGAGCCGGCGAGCUCUGCAGAGCAGACUCCCUGUUGGAGGUCAGCGUGUGGAGCGCUCUUCCACCUUGUCGCCAGGUUGUGACUUGGCAGAGCCCUGGGAAACACUGAUUCAUGAAACCCCUUGCAUUUCCAUAUUGGCAGCAGAGCACUUUCUGUUUUGUUCCCAAAGCAAAUUACUUCAAUUAAAGUCCCUUCAUCAGGGCAGAAAACAGUUCAGUGGCAGAGGCUGCAGCUUUCUUUAGCCUUCGCCUUUAUGUUCUGCUGGCAAAGGCGCUAAUUCCAAUUCUGAAGUGGGAAAUAAUGGGCCUAUCAAGGGCAGGAGUGGGAAGAAAACCAAGAAGAAAAUUGAGAUAUGUCCGAAUGCCUAAAUAAAUUUGAAGCUUUUUUUUUCCUCCA
This 702-nucleotide long non-coding RNA is filed under the name Dromaius novaehollandiae (emu). RNAcentral describes it as "lncRNA (ENSDNVG00000015703.1)". The record is from RNAcentral. Lineage: Eukaryota; Metazoa; Chordata; Aves; Casuariiformes; Dromaiidae.